RNAcentral lists this ribosomal RNA (465 nucleotides) under uncultured bacterium. Its description in RNAcentral is "partial 16S ribosomal RNA". It matches the Rfam family "Bacterial small subunit ribosomal RNA", at positions 338 to 795 of the family's 1533-position model. The record is from RNAcentral.
CCUACGGGAGGCAGCAGUAGGGAAUCUUCCACAAUGGGCGAAAGCCUGAUGGAGCAACGCCGCGUGGGUGAAGAAGGUCUUCGGAUCGUAAAACCCUGUUGUUAGAGAAGAAAGUGCGUGAGAGUAACUGUUCACGUUUCGACGGUAUCUAACCAGAAAGCCACGGCUAACUACGUGCCAGCAGCCGCGGUAAGACGUAGGUGGCAAGCGUUAUCCGGAUUUAUUUGGCGUAAAGGGAACGCAGGCGGUCUUUUAAGUCUGAUGUGAAAGCCUUCGGCUUAACCGGAGUAGUGCAUUGGAAACUGGGAGACUUGAGUGCAGAAGAGGAGAGUGGAACUCCAUGUGUAGCGGUGAAAUGCGUAGAUAUAUGGAAGAACACCAGUGGCGAAAGCGGCUCUCUGGUCUGUAACUGACGCUGAGGUUCGAAAGCGUGGGUAGCAAACAGGAUUAGAUACCCUGGUAGUC